This 2345-nucleotide long non-coding RNA is filed under the name Ananas comosus (pineapple). RNAcentral describes it as "long non-coding RNA (ACOM_LNC013675)". The record is from RNAcentral. Lineage: Eukaryota; Viridiplantae; Streptophyta; Magnoliopsida; Poales; Bromeliaceae.
CCUUCAUUUUGAUUCAAUUUUAAAAAUUUAAAAGCUAACAAAAAGAUAAUUUGCAUAAAAAAUCUACUUAUUUUGGGCUUUUGCAAAACCGGGCCACCUUUUUCGUUUUUGCAGAUUCGGUCCGCUUUUUCCGCCGCCUGACCAAAAUGCCCCUCCUAUACAAUAGCCUCCCGCGCGUAUUUCUUGACAUACGUAUACUACCCUACUACCCUGCCGUACGGUCUGGCGCGCAUUAAAUGACCCGCUUAUUUCUCAGAACCCGGACCACAUCCGCCCCCGCUAUUCGCCGGCCCCGCUGUUUCCUGUUCGGCUUAAGACUUUACGAAAUUUUCGAACGCUAUUGACAAAUAGCGCGCGCCCCGCAACAGGGAUAAUAGUGCAAUGCGAAGAGCUACGAAAUGAGAAAUGGUGCAAACGACCUCUAUAACAGUGCAUCCUAGCUUCGUUCCAGUGCAACCAAACCAAAAUCAGUCAAAAUUUUACUUUCUCCAUUUCUUAAUAUAAUCUGAACUUAAAAGUGCAAAUGAACGACGUCCCCUCCAAAUGCAGGCGAGGAAGCUCUGCGGCGGGGCUGGACGGUCGGCGAUGUGCGACAUAAGAGUCGGCAGGCCAGGAAGAUCUGCGGCGGGGCUGGACGCUCAACGGCGGGGUUUGGAGUCCGAGAGGCACGACAUAACGGCUAAACGAUUGUGUAAAGUUUUCCUAUAAAAGAUCACACGUCCUUUUAACUGUUAAAUAAGUUCACAGUUAAGCGCGAAUAAUAGUGCAAAGCAUGUUAAUUACAGAACAAUAUUUUUCAAAAGAGUGCAAAGAAGCUUGUAAGAGUGCAAUACGGGGAAAUAACAGUGUAAUGGAUUUUAUCUACGAGUGCAACGAAACAUGUAAGAGUGCAAUACGGUUGUAAUACCAGUGCAAUUUUUUGGAACAGACUCAUACUAAGCUUUUAAGAGCUUUAAGUGGUGUAACUCAGAUCAAAAGAGUUCAAGAUUCUCCGCUUAAGCGUGUAACAGUACGAUAUGUAGCACAAAGUUUUCACAGAAUUGGUGUUAAUAUGAACAUAAUAGUGCAAAAAUGGUCGAAAUUUAUAUUAUACUAUGAUAUAAACAAUGCAUCCGUAGCUGGUAAAUAGUGUAACAAAUUCCUAAGCAGUACAUUAAUUUGUGAACAAGAAUUACAUUUUCUUUAAAGCCGAGUACACGAUUUUGUAGAAGUUUGGAAAAUACAAAAAGGAUUUGAAUACAAUGCAAAAUUCUAUUACAUCAAAUAUAACAAAUUGAACAUAAUAUAAAAUAUUUAACAGAAAUAUGUAAUCAUCGAAGCUUGUCUGCAAUUCCACGCGCACAUAGCCUAAAGUAACAGGUAUAGGCCAGGGGAGAUUCCGCAGGAGACUGCGAGGAGGAGAUUGCGAGGAGGAGACUGCGAGGAGGAGACUGCCGAAGGAGACUGCGACGAAGAGGAGGGUCGUUCGGAAGGGUAGAUCCAGCAACGAGGCGUUAAGAUUGAUUUGCACUAUCUGGAGUGCUUUAUUUGCCUCAAGCCCUUUGGAGCUCCGCUCUACCAUGAAACAGACAGUUCAAUCAGCAAACAUAAGAAUCCAUCAAUAACAAUAAAGAUCUGCAAGAAUUUAAGAACCUGUAUGAGAAGAGGGCCAAUGGGCUCGUGGCAAAUAAAGCACUCCAGAUAGUGCGAAUCAAUCUUAACGCCUCAUUGCUGGAUGGUACCCUUCGGAGCGAGCCGCCUACUCCACGAACUCUGCUUCGGCUCACUUCGGAGCGACCCGCCUACUCCUCGAACUCUCCUUCGGCUAUCUACUGUUGUUGCCUAAACGUCAUGGACGAACUGUAGCCGGGUACCAGUCAUUGUGGCGCCUACCCUGCCGUACGGUCUGGCGCGCAUUAAAUGACCCGCUUCCGCCUUACGCAAUCUCGCUCAUUUCUCUGAACCCGGACCACAUCCGGCCCCGCUAUUCGCCGGCCCCGCUAUUUCCUGUUCGGCUUUAAGACUUUAAUACAAUUACUCACGAUAAAUGACAAAAUCUGCAAGGGCCGCAACAAGGAUAAUAGUGCAACGCAAGGUACAACGCCAGGAGAAAUGAUGCAACCGACCACUAUAACAGUGCAUCCUAGCCUCGUUCCAGUGCAACCAAACCAUAAUCAGUCAAAAAUUUACUUUCUCCAUUUCUUAAUAUAAUCUGAACUUAAAAGUGCAAAUGAACGGCGUCCCCUCCAAAUGCAGACGAGGAAGCUCUGCGACGGGGCUGGACGGUCGGCGAUGUGCGACAUAAGAGUCGGCAGGCCAGGAAGAUCUGCGGCGGGGCUGGACGCUCGCCGGCGGGGUUCAGGGUU